Molecule: ribosomal RNA, 438 nt
Filed under: uncultured bacterium
Lineage: Bacteria
Description: partial 16S ribosomal RNA
Rfam family: Bacterial small subunit ribosomal RNA
Source: RNAcentral
CUACGGGCGGCUGCAGUGAGGAAUAUUGAACAAUGGGGGGAACCCUGAUGCAGCAACGCCGCGUGGAGGAUGACGCAUUUCGGUGUGUAAACUCCUUUAUAUGUCAAGAAAAUGACGGUAGCAUAUGAAUAAGCACCGGCUAACUCCGUGCCAGCAGCCGCGGUAAUACGGAGGGUGCAAGCGUUACUCGGAAUCACUGGGCGUAAAGGACGCGUAGGCGGGUUGGAAAGUCAGGUGUGAAAUCCUACAGCUUAACUGUAGAACUGCACUUGAAACUUCUAAUCUAGAGUAUGGGAGGGGGAGAUGGAAUUAGUGGUGUAGGGGUAAAAUCCGUAGAUAUCACUAGGAAUACCUAAGGCGAAGGCGAUCUCCUGGAACAUUACUGACGCUAAGGCGUGAAAGCGUGGGGAGCAAACAGGAUUAGAUACCCCAGUAGUC